UACAUGUACAGCACAGGAUCUUU
RNAcentral lists this non-coding RNA (23 nucleotides) under Rattus norvegicus (Norway rat). Lineage: Eukaryota; Metazoa; Chordata; Mammalia; Rodentia; Muridae. The record is from RNAcentral.